AUUAUUUUGGCAGAGUAGUGUAAUGAAUUUAGAAUUCAUAAAUAUAAAUUUAAUUUAUAAAUAAUA
Molecule: transfer RNA, 66 nt
Filed under: Desmopachria sp. ITV9392
Lineage: Eukaryota; Metazoa; Arthropoda; Insecta; Coleoptera; Dytiscidae
Also listed under: 1 other name
Description: tRNA-Leu
Rfam family: tRNA
About the family: Transfer RNA (tRNA) molecules are approximately 80 nucleotides in length.
Source: RNAcentral